GAUGAACGCUGGCGGCGUGCUUAACACAUGCAAGUCGAACGGUGAAGCAGAGCUUUCUCUGUGUUUCCGUUGCGAACGGGUGAGUAACUCGUAAGCAACCUGCCCCUGUCUCUGGGAUAGGCGCUUUAAACGGCGUCUAAUACUGGCUAUUAGCUGCUACCGCCUGGUCAGCUGUUUGAAAGAUUUUUCGGUAUGUGAUGGUCUUACGGCAUAUCAGCUCGUUGGUGCAGUAAUGGCUCGCCAAGGCGUCGACGGGUAGCCGGCCUGAGAGGGUGUCCGGCCACACUGGGACUGAGAGACGGCCCAGACUCCUACGGGAGGCAGUAGGGGGGAAUAUUGCACAAUGGGCGAAAGCCUGAUGCAGCAACGCCGGGUGAGGGAUGACGGCCUUCGGGUUGUAAACCUCUUUUAGCAGGGAAGAAGAGAAAGCGACGGUACCUGCAGAAAAAGCGCCGGCUAACUACGUG
RNAcentral lists this ribosomal RNA (467 nucleotides) under uncultured bacterium. RNAcentral describes it as "partial 16S ribosomal RNA". It matches the Rfam family "Bacterial small subunit ribosomal RNA", at positions 28 to 507 of the family's 1533-position model. The record is from RNAcentral.